GUGAGAAAAUACUACUCCUGCGUCUCCCUCGCAUCGACAGAAAAAUGACCUCCCACAUCUGUUGCCUGCCGCUCGCUUGAUCCUGCGAGCUCUCCCGGCGAUCGACCUUCCGCAUGCUGCCCACCUCCGACGAUCUCCUAAACGGAACCCAUACCACACCCCAGUGCUAACCCUUGCCCGCCCUCAAGCUGAUUGCGCCGUCAUCCGCGCCCUCGCCCGCCCUCGCGCGCGCCCCGUCCACCCUCGUGUUGGUCGCGCCGUCGUCCGCGUCCUCGCGCUAGCCCCGUCCGAUCGAUCGCAGGCAGCGCGACGCGUCGAUUGGGAGACGGCUGCCCGUGCAGGUCUGCCUUCGAUCGGCAUACUUUCGAGGAAAACAGAUCGAGUCCAGGCGCCUCUCCCAUCUUAUUGCCUGAACCAGUCCAGAUCACCUGGUGAUUGCCUGGAUGAGCGCACCCUUCUCCGACGGGUCGCGGCAAGUUUGCGAGGCUAGCUGCCAGCUCCAAUUGGAUCAAUAAGGUAUGCCAAAUCUGAUCUGGAAUGCACAUCGUGGAAACUGAAAUUUCUAGGGCAGCAGGAGAUUGUUUCUGUGGUGUUUCCUGAGUUUGCGGCACCGACGUGAUCUGCUGUUCCCAAAGUGUUGCUUGCAUGACUGUAUGAACGAAUUGGAAUUGGAUUUCUUAACGUUAUGUUUCUAUUUCUGAUCCAUGCUAAGUUUCUGUUUUUGAUCCAUGUCUCCAAGAAUGAGUGCCUCUUGUAUCCCAGUUAGAGUAAUGGCGUUGCCUGAUUUCUUUGUCAUGAGUCUAUGUCUCUAUCAGUUCCUUUUCUCUCUACGAUAGCUAAUUUUUCUCACUACAAUGCCUGAGUACGCAUGCCUAAUGGCCAUUACAGUUUGUAGACCAUAAAAGUAGCCGACUGAUUUACUGCAUCUCGAGGCUUAACCUUGUUUCUUUACAUGGCCAGGGGACUUAUUAUUCUUUUUAGUCAUAAGCCAUGUUUAUUUGUGCCAUUUUUUCAUUAGGUGAUCUCUCAAUGUGUCUCCACAGUAGUUUUUUUCUCAUUCACCUGAGUUAUAUACGGAUUUGAUAAAUAUAUGUUUAGUGGAGAUCGUAUUAUUCAAAAUGCAAGACUGGUUUCAAAUUUUUUCCUAAGCGGUAGAAAAUGGUCUUCAUUGCUGUUGCUACAGUAGGGCUAAGCCUUCAUGCUCUGUGAUCGUUGAUCAACUGCGUAGAGUCCAUUACCUUGAACACCAUUAUCCUGCUUGAGUAGCCCCAUCCAUGCAGUAAAUAUUUUUUUUCCUGAUAUUGGAUUGUUCACAAUCUUUAUUGUUUCCAGUACCCGAGCCAUUUUGGGUUGAGAAUUGAGUGCAGGACAAAGUAGUUGGGUGCUGAACCAGUAGUUCAGUACAAGUGCAUUAGAUAUUCAGCAAGAAAUGGCUGCACAACGAGGGGUGGAUCGAUCAUAUUACAUUUAGGUGUAUGGACGAAAUUUUACAAGCAGAAGUCUUAGCUUACACAUGCAUCCGUUGUUAUGGAAGAAGCCAUCAGUGUGAGUUCAGCUUUUAUAUUUUUAGUUAAUAUUACAUAUAGGAAUCAUGCAUUUGAUUCUUAAUCACUUCAUGUGUUUAAGUUCAGUUUCCAACCAAUUAUUUUGCAUUUAGUGCAGUUUAGAAAGUUGGCAAUCUUGUUCUGAAUCUUCUUUUCUUUUUGCAAUUGGUGGCAACUGUAAAUAUGCAAAAUGUUUUCAGUCAAACGGGCAAUUUCACCUGAACUGACAUUCUAAAAUUAUCCUAAGUGUAAGGACUUUUUGCAAUUAUUGGAAGCCAUGCAAAAAUUUAUAAUAUAUCAAUUCAAUUAUUUUGCAUGUGGCCCUAUAGGUUUAUUUUGCAUGUGGAGGAUGAUUGCAUGAUGGAUGGUUAGGUUUGUCCUAUCUUAAUGCCUUGGACAUGAUCCUAGCUUUAGAAUCUUUGUUGUUUACAUAUGUGAGAGAACUUGGGUUCAUGGUUCAUCUUCUAUUCACCACAAGAUCAUCUCGACUGUUUCAAUUUUGAUUGUCAUUUUUCAUCACAUCCUCUCUUUUUUUUUGGCUUAACCACAUGACAUAGAAUUUUAAUGGUUGAGUGAUGGAUGUAAUAUUUAGGUUGUUGCAGCUUGGAGCAGAGGUGCAGAUCAUGCAGCUGCAUGGUGACCACAAUUCAUUUUAGGCAACCACUCUCAUACAUCUCUGGUAGAUGCAGAUAUGUAACAAGAAUUAAGUUUUGUUUGUGCUUAAUUUCUGUUUCUCUAUUUAUGCUUCCCUGUUUCCUCGUGCAACUUUCAACGGCUCGUGGCUCACCUGCCUGACUCGACGGCUCCCGCCGAAGACUCACGCGGAUCAGCUAGAUAAAGUAUAUGCAUCACAUGAAUGAUGGGAUCAGCAAGGGAUAGAGAUGGAUGGACAAAAGCUGCAGUCAGGUAUUCAAUCUCCGUUUUCUAUCUUGUCAAAUCUGAAAACAGUUUCUUUGCGGUAACUAUUUCACUGAUACUGUGACACAUAGUGCAGUUUGCCACUAGACCCACGUAUUAGGAAUACUAGUCCCAUUGCCAUAAUUGCAGAGAAGAUUCGUCCAGCGGCGCCGGUGAACGGCGAAGGUGAGAGAAAAAGAAUAAAGUUGGGUUGUUUAUACUUGGUUGAGUAGACUUUUUUUAUGAAAUGAUUUGUACUUCUAUUUAAAAGAAUGUAAAUUUUCAUUACUAUA
Long non-coding RNA from Panicum virgatum (switchgrass), 2734 nucleotides. RefSeq lists it as uncharacterized. The transcript has 2 exons. Lineage: Eukaryota; Viridiplantae; Streptophyta; Magnoliopsida; Poales; Poaceae. The record is from RefSeq and is a predicted model, not a curated record.